Molecule: long non-coding RNA, 129 nt
Organism: Dipodomys spectabilis (banner-tailed kangaroo rat)
Lineage: Eukaryota; Metazoa; Chordata; Mammalia; Rodentia; Heteromyidae
Exons: 3
Source: RefSeq, a predicted model, not a curated record
CUUGUUACAAAUUACUUUCUUUACACUACUGGAACCUAUAAAGUCAUUCUUUCAAAGUCACUGUUUCAGGAUUGAUGAGUAUUUUCAGCUUAUGGGCCAUCUGCAUAUCUUUUUUCUAAAUCCCAUUUC